Molecule: ribosomal RNA, 468 nt
Filed under: uncultured bacterium
Lineage: Bacteria
Description: partial 16S ribosomal RNA
Rfam family: Bacterial small subunit ribosomal RNA
Source: RNAcentral
GACGAACGCUGGCGGCGUGCUUAACACAUGCAAGUCGAACGGAAAGGCCCAGCUUUUGUGGGGUGCUCGAGUGGCGAACGGGUGAGUAACACGUGAGUAACCUGCCCUUGACUUUGGGAUAACUUCAGGAAACUGGGGCUAAUACCGGAUAGGAGCUCCCGCUGCAUGGUGGGGGUUGGAAAGUUUCGGCGGUUGGGGAUGGACUCGCGGCUUAUCAGCUUGUUGGUGGGGUAGUGGCUUACCAAGGCUUUGACGGGUAGCCGGCCUGAGAGGGUGACCGGCCACAUUGGGACUGAGAUACGGCCCAGACUCCUACGGGAGGCAGCAGUGGGGAAUAUUGCACAAUGGGCGGAAGCCUGAUGCAGCAACGCCGCGUGCGGGAUGACGGCCUUCGGGUUGUAAACCGCUUUCGCCUGUGACGAAGCGUGAGUGACGGUAAUGGGUAAAGAAGCACCGGCUAACUACGUG